GGCCGGGUAGCUCAGAUGUUUGGAGCAUUGGCCUGAUGAGCCAAGGUUGUGGAUUUGAUCCCUGGUCA
Molecule: transfer RNA, 68 nt
Filed under: Myotis brandtii (Brandt's bat)
Lineage: Eukaryota; Metazoa; Chordata; Mammalia; Chiroptera; Vespertilionidae
Rfam family: tRNA
About the family: Transfer RNA (tRNA) molecules are approximately 80 nucleotides in length. Their secondary structure includes four short double-helical elements and three loops (D, anti-codon, and T loops).
Source: Rfam by way of RNAcentral